This 250-nucleotide ribosomal RNA is filed under the name uncultured bacterium. RNAcentral's name for it is "partial 16S ribosomal RNA". It matches the Rfam family "Bacterial small subunit ribosomal RNA", at positions 524 to 773 of the family's 1533-position model. The record is from RNAcentral.
UACGGAGGAUCCGAGCGUUAUCCGGAUUUAUUGGGCGUAAAGCGCGCGCAGGCGGUCCUUUAAGUCUGAUGUGAAAGCCCACGGCUCAACCGUGGAGGGUCAUUGGAAACUGGGGGACUUGAGUACUGAAGAGGAAAGUGGAAUUCCACGUGUAGCGGUGAAAUGCGUAGAGAUGUGGAGGAACACCAGUGGCGAAGGCGACUUUCUGGUCAGUAACUGACGCUGAGGCGCGAAAGCGUGGGGAGCAAAC